Callithrix jacchus (white-tufted-ear marmoset) is the source of this 273-nucleotide non-coding RNA. The record is from Rfam. Lineage: Eukaryota; Metazoa; Chordata; Mammalia; Primates; Cebidae.
GGAUGUGGAGGGGUAGGGUGGCCUCUGCCCAGCCCCUGGGAAUUCAGGUGACCUGCUGGCUUGGUGUCCCCUUCCUCCCUCAACCUUCCUCAUGUAUCCCUUCUUGAAGUUGCACACUCAAAGAAGAUGACCUUCCCAGCAAAAAGAUCGUUCUUCUGGCAAGCAUGUCUUCCCAAGUUUGUUGUGAAGAUCUAAUAAGGUAAUGGAUAUAAAAAUGCUUUAGAAACUGAAUGAACUGUAUAAAUAUAAGUUAUUAUAAUUAUUAUGAUUAAC